UGCAUCUUUGUUAGAUUUCGUACUAAACGGUGUAGCUACUGCAUUCACUAGCCGGGUAUAACUUCCAAUGCGAAGCAGCAAAAACACACCUGUCAUUUUUAACCCUAAGAAAUGAUUAACUGUUUCGUGUUUGUUUGAUUAGUGAUCGAACUAAACUCUGCAGGGAUGUAAAUCUCCAGGAGCACGACUGAGCACUCCUGAUCUCGAGAUUGAUGUAAGGAGACUAAACUGACCACUACUGUUCGGCCUUUAUGAAAAGAGGGCCAUACUCUCACGGAAACAAAUUGCAGCCAAAGCAACACAUGCACACACACAAGAACAGAUCUCAGGGCUGUACCUACUGACCUACUCUCAGCUCUUGCCCAAAGACGGUCCUCUCGCCAAGGGCAGAGCAGUUCCAUCGUCCAUAGCGAAACUGAUAGUGGCACUCGUUGAUGCCCAGCUGAGCGCCUUCCCCAAUGAUGAUGAUGGCAUCUGGGCGGCUCUGGCAGAUGGCGCGCUGUCUGGGGGCCAGGCCAGGGAUUUUGUUGCAGAUGAUGUUCGCACCCAAAGCCACGACUGAAGAAAAAGCCCU
Long non-coding RNA from Carassius carassius (crucian carp), 574 nucleotides. RefSeq lists it as uncharacterized. The record is from RefSeq and is a predicted model, not a curated record. The transcript has 2 exons. NCBI's taxonomy places the organism in Eukaryota, Metazoa, Chordata, Actinopteri, Cypriniformes, Cyprinidae.